UGCCUCUGGGAGGGGAAAGGAGGGGUGGGAGGGAUGUUGCUGUGGGGAUUUUGGUAUUUGGAUCUCAUUUCAUUCAUUCAGGUGCCCGUGUCUGUGUGGUCUUGAACACCUGAGGUCCUGGAGUCAGCUGAGUCUGUGCCAGCAGAGCAUCUCUGUGCCUUUGCCAUGGCAGGUGUUGGCCACCCUGAACAACCACCAGCAUGUGUGUGUCUAACCACAACCACAUCCCAGGGGAGUGAGCUUCUCCUGUGCUUCCUCAGGGAAAGAUAUUCCUUAACUCAGCAGCCAAAUUCCUCCUGCAGUUGUGCUCUUAAUGCUCUUGGGAGGGAUGAAAGUGGAAGUGCUGUGCCUGAUGCCAGGGCCCACAAAGCUUCACUUUUGAUCCCUGCUGCUGCUGGUGGCACCUCCUCCCCAUGUGUGUCCUGCUUUGCUGGGAGAGCGAAGGAAUUGUCCUCGGGAAGCUGUGAGACUGUGUUACCUCUG
Molecule: long non-coding RNA, 483 nt
Organism: Chiroxiphia lanceolata (lance-tailed manakin)
Lineage: Eukaryota; Metazoa; Chordata; Aves; Passeriformes; Pipridae
Exons: 2
Source: RefSeq, a predicted model, not a curated record